This 518-nucleotide ribosomal RNA is filed under the name uncultured Rhytismataceae. Its description in RNAcentral is "eukaryotic LSU rRNA". The stretch from base 154 to 307 matches the Rfam family "5.8S ribosomal RNA". The record is from RNAcentral. Lineage: Eukaryota; Fungi; Ascomycota; Leotiomycetes; Rhytismatales; Rhytismataceae.
UUGCCCCUAGGGGUAGAUCUCCCACCCUGUGUCUACUUACCUUUGUUGCUUUGGCAGGCCCGCCUCGCGGCCGCCGGCUCCGGCUGGCCCGUGCCUGCCAGAGGACUCCAAACUCAUACUAUUUCUGCCGUCUGAGUACUAUACAAUUAUUAAAGCUUUCAACAACGGAUCUCUUGGUUCUGGCAUCGAUGAAGAACGCAGCGAAAUGCGAUAAGUAAUGUGAAUUGCAGAAUUCAGUGAAUCAUCGAAUCUUUGAACGCACAUUGCGCCCUCUGGUAUUCCGGGGGGCAUGCCUGUUCGAGCGUCAUUACAACCCUCAAGCUCUGCUUGGUGUUGGGCAGCACCGGCCCCGGUGUGUCCUAAAAUCAGUGGCGGUGCCGUCUGGCUUCCAAGCGUAGUAACACUUCUCGCUUCCGGAGACCCGGCGUGUGCCUGCCGUGAAAUCACUACUUACUCAAGGUUGACCUCGGAUCAGGUAGGGAUACCCGCUGAACUUAAGCAUAUCAAUAAGCGGAGGA